RNAcentral lists this ribosomal RNA (232 nucleotides) under uncultured bacterium. RNAcentral describes it as "partial 16S ribosomal RNA". It matches the Rfam family "Bacterial small subunit ribosomal RNA", at positions 100 to 334 of the family's 1533-position model. The record is from RNAcentral.
CGGGACGGGUGAGUAAUGUCUGGGAAACUGCCUGAUGGAGGGGGAUAACUACUGGAAACGGUAGCUAAUACCGCAUAACGUCGCAGACCAAAGAGGGGGACCUUCGGGCCUCUUGCCAUCGGAUGUGCCCAGAUGGGAUUAGCUAGUAGGUGGGGUAACGGCUCACCUAGGCGACGAUCCCUAGCUGGUCUGAGAGGAUGACCAGCCACACUGGAACUGAGACACGGUCCAG